CAGUCGCCGCGGUAAUACGUAGGUGGCAAGCGUUGUCCGGAAUUAUUAGGCGUAAAGGGCUCGCAGGCGGUUUCUUAAGUCUGAUGUGAAAGCCCCCGGCUCAACCGGGGAGGGUCAUUGGAAACUGGGAAACUUGAGUGCAGAAGAGGAGAGUGGAAUUCCACGUGUAGCGGUGAAAUGCGUAGAGGUGUGGAGGAACACCAGUGGCGAAGGCGACUCUCUGGUCUGUAACUGACGCUGAGGAGCGAAAGCGUGGGGAGCGAACAGGAUUAGAUACCCCAGUAGUCCCUGUCUCUUAUAC
This 301-nucleotide ribosomal RNA is filed under the name uncultured bacterium. RNAcentral's name for it is "partial 16S ribosomal RNA". It matches the Rfam family "Bacterial small subunit ribosomal RNA", at positions 509 to 807 of the family's 1533-position model. The record is from RNAcentral.